UGGUGUGCCUGAUGGACAGCUCUGCAGCACUAAAGUGCUUAUAGUGCAGGUAGUGUCUCGGGAUCUACUGCAUCGUGAGCACUUACAGUGCUGCCGGCUGUAGAGCGCCAGCGCCGGCCGCCGCCAGUCACGCUGCCCUGUCACUGAGCACUGCUCUAUGGUUAGUUUUGCAGGUUUGCAUCCAGCUGUGUAAUAUUCUGCUGUGCAAAUCCAUGCAAAACUGACUGUGGUGGUGAAAAGUCUGUAGAGAAUUAAGGGAAAAUCAAACCCCUUUCUACACAGGUUGGGAUUUGUUGCAAUGCUGUGUUUCUGUAUGGUAUUGCACUUGUCCCGGCCUGUUGAGUUUGGUGGGGAUUGUGACCAGAAGAUUUGAAAAUCAAAUAUUGCUCAAGAUGCCGAUUUCCACUGUAAAAUGUUCCAAGAAAUACGAAGUACAGAGAAACUCUGACAUCUAAUUUACUCAUCAUUGUAAAGCACAUAACUGCUUCUUGAAGUCAAGUGUUUUGUGUAACUAGAAUGUUUCAUUUGUGCAUGUUAGGCUUUUAAAUGUUGCCCUUUUUGUGGAGUUAGACUUGGCUAGGAAGUAUUCCAUUAUGAUUGUGAACAGGCUUCUGUAAAUGCAUAACACCUGAUAGUUAACAUCUUUUUGGUUCUUUCGACCUAGUGUGAUGCUCAGAACUUUACUUAAUCUAACUUGAUAACUUACAAAGUAUCAGUCAAUGAUUUAAGAGGACAAAAAUGUCACUUUAUUAAAAUCCAUGUGUAUAGAGAAUUUUUAAAAGCAUGGUACUUAGAAUGAGACCCUUGGGAGUAAACAAAUGUAUUCUUAAUGCAUGAAUGAGCAAGUUACCUGGUUCUGUAUUCGUUUCUUUCUGUUACGUGUGUAUUCUGUAAAUACCCAGGACCCUCAGUCUGCUCUCACCACCUGGAACCUAAAGUCAGUUGGGAUUAAAGGAGCGACAAGACAAGGCUAUGCCAUUUGGAAUGAAGGGCAUGCACCUGAUUUAGGAAUGCCAGGAGUGGGCAUUGUAAUACUAACGUGUUACAGUCUUUUGCACAAGCUGGUCUUGGGCAGCACUGAGUGGUGUAUGUUACUAGGGUGGACCUGUAGAGCCAUCUCAUUGGAAAGGAUUAAGAAGUGGUUCCAGGCUGAGAUGCACUUUUCUUGAGCAGUAAGUUUGUGAAGCUAGAAACAGUCUUGGAUUCCUGUAUAAAAAGGCAUGCUACCUAAGCUCAGGAAGCCAGUCUUGGAUUGCCAUGAAGACUCACAAGUACUACACAAGUGAUAAAAUGCAGCCUGCAGCUUCCUGGAGGACCAUCAGCGUCACAGUGUGUGUUUAAUGGAAUUCUGUUUUGUGAUUGUUUUGUGGAGAAUUAACAGCUGAGCAGUAAGUGAGAGCUUAGUAUGCAAGGCCCAUAUUAGGUGUCUUGACUAGAAGGAAGCAUCAUUCUCCCUUGAAGUUUUCCAGAUUAUUCCAUUGCUUACAGGUGAUUAUUUUACUAUCUCAGUCUGAAUUAUGCUUUACUUUCAUGUUUGAACAAAGUCAAAUCAAGGUGCAUUAGUUUUAAAAUGUUAAGAAAAUAAACAUAGGCCCAUAUGAAUUUUAAAGCACAAUAAAAUUGUUAAAACAUUUUCGUUUUCUUUCCCAAAUAAUCAGACACAUGUGGAAAUGCAGCAUUAAUGGGUGUCUAAUGAAGCUUUUUCAUUUUGGCCAUGCUGCUUGAAUUUUUUUAUGCACUUGAUGUUAAUAAAGUACUGUUUAAAAUUGUUAAAUAUAAAAAACAAGCAAAGUUUAUUAAAUAAAGUUGUCUUUAACAGUU
Jaculus jaculus (lesser Egyptian jerboa) is the source of this 1821-nucleotide long non-coding RNA. RefSeq lists it as uncharacterized. Lineage: Eukaryota; Metazoa; Chordata; Mammalia; Rodentia; Dipodidae. The record is from RefSeq and is a predicted model, not a curated record. The transcript is spliced from 2 exons.